GGGCCUGUGGUGUCGCCUGGAUAUCACCGGGGCCUCCGGAGCCCCAGACCCGGAUUCGAAUUCCGGCAGGCCCG
This 74-nucleotide transfer RNA is filed under the name Methanomassiliicoccaceae archaeon. RNAcentral's name for it is "tRNA-Arg". Lineage: Archaea; Methanobacteriati; Thermoplasmatota; Thermoplasmata; Methanomassiliicoccales; Methanomassiliicoccaceae. The record is from RNAcentral.